RNAcentral lists this unclassified non-coding RNA (212 nucleotides) under Hevea brasiliensis (rubber tree). The record is from RNAcentral. Lineage: Eukaryota; Viridiplantae; Streptophyta; Magnoliopsida; Malpighiales; Euphorbiaceae.
UGUGGUGGAGCAGUUUGCUUAUUUCUGUUUCCUUAAGUUUGCCAUACUAGAUUCUUUUUGAGCGACAAUAGACUCGGUCUCGACUAGACCGAGUAGCUUAUGAUAGAUGUCACGGACUUGGUGAUUUCAACACCAAAAUCGUACGGCACUUUGUCAAUUGAAUGGACUAAGUCUUUAUUAUGUUAGCCCAACAAGUAGACUAACAAGGGUGG